GGGGCAGCUUACACAUGCAGUCGACGGCAGCGCGAAGAGCUUGCUCUCUUGCGGCGAGUGGCGCACGGGUGAGUAUAUAUCGGAACGUGCCCAGUAGCGGGGGAUAACUACUCGAAAGAGUGGUAAUACCGCAUACGCUCUACGGCGAAGGUGGGGAUCGCAAGACCUCUCACUAUUGGAGCGGCCGAUAUCGGAUUAGCUAGUUGGUGGGGUAAAGGCUCACCAAGGCACGAUCCGUAGUUGGUUUGAGAGGCCGACCAGCCACACUGGGACUGAGACCCUCCCAGACUCCUACGGGAGGAGCGGGGGGGAUUUUGGACAAUGCGGGAACCCUGAUCCAGCAUCGCGCGAGUUUGAUGAGGCUUCGGGUUGUAAAGUACUUUUGGCAGAGAGAAAGGAUCCCCUAUACGGGAUACUGCUGACG
RNAcentral lists this ribosomal RNA (424 nucleotides) under Alcaligenes faecalis. RNAcentral describes it as "bacterial SSU rRNA". It matches the Rfam family "Bacterial small subunit ribosomal RNA", at positions 41 to 477 of the family's 1533-position model. The record is from RNAcentral. Lineage: Bacteria; Pseudomonadati; Pseudomonadota; Betaproteobacteria; Burkholderiales; Alcaligenaceae.